GUCUGGAGGGGGGUCCAAUGCUCCAGCUCCAGCCCCGCCUGGUUGCCCAGUUCCCUGGGCUCCCCAACCGGCUCCUCCCCUCACCCAGCCGGGCACCGGGGCACAUACCCUGGCGAACCCGGCAAGCUGCCCAAAGCCUCGGAUCCCUCCCUUUCCACCCUCUUCAGCUUCCUCGAAAAAGCGGAAAAGCGGAAUCUGCAUGCCCAUAAACUCGCUUCGGGAGCCUUAGGAGUCAAAUUGGGCAUGCUCAGGACUUGGGGCGCCUGGCGUGGAGGAACUCUCCAGUCGCCCACAUCUGCACGUCUGGGCCAGAUGUGCAUCUGAUGCGUGAGGCGUUGGCGCCGGACUAGAGUUUGACUCCGGUCCCAGGGAGGGCGGCGGCGACGACCACAGUCGCCUUCUCCUUCCCGGCUUCCCAGCGAGAGCCUGACCGUGGGAGAUACCAAGUGCAGAGCCAGGGGAGCUGCACCAACUGGAGAAACCCGAGUGUCGAGUUCUCCCAGACCCCCUCCCUGCAACGCCACCCGGGCCGUACACAGGUAUUUGCAAAGAGGGAGCACUGUAAGCCCAGCACACCACCGAGGGUUGGAAAUAUACCGAGCUGAGCACUCUCGGGGGGAAGAAUAGGGAAUCGAGCACGUUUAUUCCCAUCGUCCCCUUUCCAACACCCCCUUCAGCUUCGGGCAGGAAUCGUUUGGAUCCCUGCAGCACACCAUCACCCCACCACCCACCCCCACCCCACCGCAAC
This is a long non-coding RNA of Phyllostomus discolor (pale spear-nosed bat), 748 nucleotides long. RefSeq lists it as uncharacterized. The transcript has 2 exons. Lineage: Eukaryota; Metazoa; Chordata; Mammalia; Chiroptera; Phyllostomidae. The record is from RefSeq and is a predicted model, not a curated record.